UACGGAGGAUCCGAGCGUUAUCCGGAUUUAUUGGGUUUAAAGGGUGCGUAGGCGGCCUGGUAAGUCAGGGGUGAAAGACGGUAGCUUAACUAUCGCAGUGCCCUUGGUACUGCUGGGCUUGAAUGUAGUUGAGGUAGGCGGAAUGUGACAAGUAGCGGUGAAAUGCAUAGAUAUGUCACAGAACACCAACUUGCGAAGGCAGCUUACUAAAGUAUGAUUGACGCUGAGGCACGAAAGCGUGGGGAUCAAACGG
This 253-nucleotide ribosomal RNA is filed under the name uncultured bacterium. RNAcentral describes it as "partial 16S ribosomal RNA". It matches the Rfam family "Bacterial small subunit ribosomal RNA", at positions 524 to 775 of the family's 1533-position model. The record is from RNAcentral.